UUGCCAGCCAAAUGUGUUCUGAGUUUACAAAGUUGCCGAAGUGCAGAAUAUUGUCAUAUUCUUAUAUUUUCGUUUUAUUUCGAGAAAGUAAGAUAAAUACAAAACAUUCGUGAGGUAUUUAUUACAUUUAGCGUUCAUGUAUAUGUUCGUAUUAUCUUUACCGGCUGUUGGUAAUGUGAACUUGAACACCAUGUUUUGUACAGUAUGCAGAGUUCACUAAAUACAAGGGGUAAUUAUUGUGCUAACUGUGGGAUGGAUCUUCGAAAGUCUGACGAGUCAAAGACCUUGCGGAACAGUGAUCCAUCAACAUCAGCUGGGCCUACUACUGACCUCGUGCCACCAAACUUUGACUUUUAAAGAGUAUUUGGCUGAUAUUUCAUUUGCCACUGUUGAGACAAGGAAGCGUCAAGAUCGUUUUGUCUCCACGAAAAAGACGAAGAACGACGAGACUGUCAAGAUAAACAUUGGAAUUAUUGAGCUGGAUGGGAAUCAUUUGAAAAUUAAGCGAGGCUCACUUCUUCCUAUUGAUGUAAAAAAAUGUGAUCCUCAUGUUGUCAUAAAAACUGCUGGGGUGGGGAAGCAACUGGCUCACAAUAAGCAACUCCAUGAUGAAAGUUCCGAAUGGGUUUUGUUGUACCCUGAUAUGGAGUUUUAUAUUUACCAGGCACAACAGAAACAUUUUCUGUAGAAAAGUACAAGGAGUCCCUUGGCAGGCCAUGCAGUAGUGUCAAUUUGUAUCUUUGCAAGACUUUGGAUUAUGAAAUUGCUAAUGAAUUAGUUGAUGAUGUUGUGGAAGAGCAAUUAGAUUUGGAAGAAAUCAGACUAGCAUAGUCAAAAUGAAUUUUUGUGCACAGAACCACAGCUUGGAGAAGAAUAACAUUCCACAACUUUGGUUGGACUGUCAUCUAUUGAUGAUGCAACUUUAACACCACAUGCACUGGAGAACCUCGAAAAUUGUGAUGCUUUUGAGAUGAAUACUGCCCAAGGUGAAAGUUCUGAAGGGGCUACUUUUGUCCCAGAAAGUAUGGCAAAUGAAGUUAUGGAGCGAGAAGUGUUGCUUAUUCAUCGUUGUAAUGUGAAAGCUGACUUGCUGCACUAUUUUGAAAAAGAUGACAUUUUAAAGAAGUGUGUGGAUGUCCAGAUGAUUGAUUCCAGAGGUGUUGAGGAAAAGGGCGAAGCAGUCGGCGUUGUCAGGGAUGCAUUUUCUCUGUUUUGGAAUGAAAUAGUUUCAUGUCAGGCGAGGAUGAACGAGUCCCAGUGAUUCGUCAUGACGUUUCUCGGGAGAAGUGGCAAGCGAUAGCUAGAAAUCUCGUGAAAGGUUACACUCAAGAACGCUAUUUUCCAAUCAAAAUUUCUCGUGUUUUCUUGUGCUCCUGUCUUUUUGGCGUAGAUUAUGUCUCAUAAGAUAUGUACGUGAGUUUUUUUAUGAAGUAUAUUUUGACCACUGAGUCUAGUGUGGUUGAAAACGUACUUUCUCAUUCUCUUGCAGUUGAUGAUGAAGAUGUGCAGGAUUUUUUAACAGCGUUUGAGUGCAAAAAUAUAUAGCGUUUAUACAGCGUUUGCCGUAAAGCUAUUUCCCUCGGAUGUUUUGCCGUAUAGCUAUUUCCCUCGGUGUUUUGCCGUAUAGCU
Long non-coding RNA from Xenia sp. Carnegie-2017, 1629 nucleotides. RefSeq lists it as uncharacterized. The transcript has 4 exons. The record is from RefSeq and is a predicted model, not a curated record. NCBI's taxonomy places the organism in Eukaryota, Metazoa, Cnidaria, Anthozoa, Malacalcyonacea, Xeniidae.